AUUUAUAUAAUAUAUAAUAUAGUAUAUUUGAUUUCCAAUCAAAAAGUUUAAUUAAUUUUAAUAUAAAUA
RNAcentral lists this transfer RNA (69 nucleotides) under Megathymus cofaqui cofaqui. RNAcentral describes it as "tRNA-Gly". The record is from RNAcentral. Lineage: Eukaryota; Metazoa; Arthropoda; Insecta; Lepidoptera; Hesperiidae.